Sphaeroforma arctica JP610 is the source of this 71-nucleotide non-coding RNA. The record is from Rfam. NCBI's taxonomy places the organism in Eukaryota, Ichthyosporea, Ichthyophonida.
AAGAGAGUAGUUAAAUGGUAUAACUUUUGAUUCCAAAUCAAAGAUUGAGGGUUCGAUUCCUUCCUUUCUUG